RNAcentral lists this ribosomal RNA (468 nucleotides) under uncultured bacterium. RNAcentral describes it as "partial 16S ribosomal RNA". It matches the Rfam family "Bacterial small subunit ribosomal RNA", at positions 28 to 507 of the family's 1533-position model. The record is from RNAcentral.
GACGAACGCUGGCGGCGUGCUUAACACAUGCAAGUCGAACGGAAAGGCCCUGCUUUUGUGGGGUGCUCGAGUGGCGAACGGGUGAGUAACACGUGAGUAACCUGCCCUUGACUUUGGGAUAACUUCAGGAAACUGGGGCUAAUACCGGAUAGGAGCUCCUGCUGCAUGGUGGGGGUUGGAAAGUUUCGGCGGUUGGGGAUGGACUCGCGGCUUAUCAGCUUGGUGGUGGGGUAGUGGCUUACCAAGGUUUUGACGGGUAGCCGGCCUGAGAGGGUGACCGGCCACAUUGGGACUGAGAUACGGCCCAGACUCCUACGGGAGGCAGCAGUGGGGAAUAUUGCACAAUGGGCGGAAGCCUGAUGCAGCAACGCCGCGUGCGGGAUGACGGCCUUCGGGUUGUAAACCGCUUUCGCCUGUGACGAAGCGUGAGUGACGGUAAUGGGUAAAGAAGCACCGGCUAACUACGUG